CUACGGAGGAUCCGAGCGUUAUCCGGAUUUAUUGGGUUUAAAGGGUGCGCAGGCGGCCAUUUAAGUCAGCGGUUAAAUCGUGGGGCUCAACCCCAUUCUGCCGUUGAUACUGGGUGGCUUGAUUGCGGUCGAGGUUGGCGGAAUUCGUUGUGUAGCGGUGAAAUGCAUAGAUAUGACGAAGAACACCGAUUGCGUAGGCAGCUGACCAGACCGCAAAUGACGCUCAUGCACGAAAGUGCGGGGAUCGAACAGGAUUAGAUACCCUGGUAGUCCGCACAGUAAACGAUGAAUACUUGUUUUCGGCGAUAUAAUGUUGGAGGCAAAGCGAAAGCGAUAAGUAUUCCACCUGGGGAGUACGCCGGCAACGGUGAAACUCAAAUGAAUUGGCGGGG
Molecule: ribosomal RNA, 392 nt
Filed under: uncultured bacterium
Lineage: Bacteria
Description: partial 16S ribosomal RNA
Rfam family: Bacterial small subunit ribosomal RNA
Source: RNAcentral